ACCUAGACCUGAUUGAAAUGGCAUUCCGGUUUCCGAAUAUUUAUCAUUAUCAAAAAAUUACCGGAAUACAAUGAAAGCAGGACUUUAC
Molecule: unclassified non-coding RNA, 88 nt
Filed under: Pedobacter terrae
Lineage: Bacteria; Pseudomonadati; Bacteroidota; Sphingobacteriia; Sphingobacteriales; Sphingobacteriaceae
Description: Flavo-1 RNA
Source: RNAcentral